This 253-nucleotide ribosomal RNA is filed under the name uncultured bacterium. Its description in RNAcentral is "partial 16S ribosomal RNA". It matches the Rfam family "Bacterial small subunit ribosomal RNA", at positions 524 to 776 of the family's 1533-position model. The record is from RNAcentral.
UACGGAGGGUGCGAGCGUUGUCCGGAAUCACUGGGCGUAAAGGGCGCGUAGGCGGCGCGAGGAGUCGGGGGUGAAAGUCCGGGGCUCAGCCCCGGAUCGGCCUUCGAUACUCUCGCGCUGGAGCACAGUAGAGGCGGGUGGAAUUCCGGGUGUAGCGGUGGAAUGCGUAGAGAUCCGGAAGAACACCGGUGGCGAAGGCGGCCCGCUGGGCUGUGGCUGACGCUGAGGCGCGACAGCGUGGGGAGCAAACAGG